AUUGAACGCUGGCGGCAGGCCUAACACAUGCAGGUCGAGCGGAUGAAGGGAGCUUGCUCCUGGAUUCAGCGGCGGACGGGUGAGUAAUGCCUAGGAAUCUGCCUGGUAGUGGGGGAUAACGUCCGGAAACGGGCGCUAAUACCGCAUACGUCCUGAGGGAGAAAGUGGGGGAUCUUCGGACCUCACGCUAUCAGAUGAGCCUAGGUCGGAUUAGCUAGUUGGUGGGGUAAAGGCCUACCAAGGCGACGAUCCGUAACUGGUCUGAGAGGAUGAUCAGUCACAUUGAAACGGAGACACGGUCCAGACUCCUGCGGGGGGCAGAAGGGGGGAAUUUUGGAAAAUGGGCAAAAGCUUGACCCAGCCAUCCGGGGGGUGUAAGGAAGGUCUUGGUAUUGUAAAGCUCUUUAAUUGGGGAGGAAGGGCAGUAAGUAAAUACCUUCUUUUUUUGACUUUACAAAAAAAAAAAGCCCCGGCUAACUUCGUG
Molecule: ribosomal RNA, 484 nt
Filed under: uncultured bacterium
Lineage: Bacteria
Description: partial 16S ribosomal RNA
Rfam family: Bacterial small subunit ribosomal RNA
Source: RNAcentral